GGCCUCGUAGCUCAGCUAGUGGAGCAUGCGCGUACAAAGCGUAGGCGGCGUUCAUGCGUGAGUUCGAAUCCCACCGAGGUUA
Molecule: transfer RNA, 82 nt
Filed under: Echinostoma caproni
Lineage: Eukaryota; Metazoa; Platyhelminthes; Trematoda; Plagiorchiida; Echinostomatidae
Rfam family: tRNA
About the family: Transfer RNA (tRNA) molecules are approximately 80 nucleotides in length. Their secondary structure includes four short double-helical elements and three loops (D, anti-codon, and T loops). Further hydrogen bonds mediate the characteristic L-shaped molecular structure. tRNAs have two regions of fundamental functional importance: the anti-codon, which is responsible for specific mRNA codon recognition, and the 3' end, to which the tRNAs corresponding amino acid is attached (by aminoacyl-tRNA synthetases). tRNAs cope with the degeneracy of the genetic code in two manners: having more than one tRNA (with a specific anti-codon) for a particular amino acid; and 'wobble' base-pairing, i.e. permitting non-standard base-pairing at the 3rd anti-codon position.
Source: Rfam by way of RNAcentral